UUACGGCCAUAUCACGUUAAAACACCGGUUCCCAUACGAUCACCGAAGUUAAGAAACGUCGAGUCUGGUCAAUAUCUAGAUGGGUGGCCGCUUGAGAAUACUAGGUGUUGUAA
Acanthosepion pharaonis is the source of this 113-nucleotide non-coding RNA. The record is from the annotation of a GenBank genome assembly. NCBI's taxonomy places the organism in Eukaryota, Metazoa, Mollusca, Cephalopoda, Sepiida, Sepiidae.